RNAcentral lists this ribosomal RNA (292 nucleotides) under uncultured bacterium. RNAcentral's name for it is "partial 16S ribosomal RNA". It matches the Rfam family "Bacterial small subunit ribosomal RNA", at positions 505 to 796 of the family's 1533-position model. The record is from RNAcentral.
GUGUCAGCAGCCGCGGUAAGACGAACCGUGCAAACGUUGUUCGGAAUCACUGGGCUUAAAGGGCGCGUAGGCGGGGGACCAAGUCCGGGGUGAAAUCUUUCGGCUCAACCGGAAAACUGCCUUGGAUACUGGUCUUCUUGAGGGAGGUAGGGGCAGGUGGAACUUCCGGUGGAGCGGUGAAAUGCGUUGAUAUCGGAAGGAACGCCGGUGGCGAAAGCGACCUGCUGGAUCUCUUCUGACGCUGAGGCGCGAAAGCUAGGGGAGCGAACGGGAUUAGAUACCCCCGUAGUCC